UUGAUUUAUUUGUUUGUUGUUCAGACGGUUACAGGUACAAGAGGGUUUGGUUGUGUCCCCGUUGGCAGGCGGGCCUGCCGAGGAAACGAAAGGGUACUCGAAAAAGGCAAGGGUUCUAUCUCGACGGGGCCGGAGCCCCACGAUAAUGAUCCUUCCGCAGGUUCACCUACGGAAA
RNAcentral lists this unclassified non-coding RNA (175 nucleotides) under uncultured fungus. RNAcentral describes it as "sequence contains ITS1". The record is from RNAcentral. Lineage: Eukaryota; Fungi.